Molecule: ribosomal RNA, 387 nt
Filed under: uncultured bacterium
Lineage: Bacteria
Description: bacterial SSU rRNA
Rfam family: Bacterial small subunit ribosomal RNA
Source: RNAcentral
GACGAACGCUGGCGGCGUGCUUAACACAUGCAAGUCGAGCGGUAAGGCCCUUUCGGGGGUACACGAGCGGCGAACGGGUGAGUAACACGUGGGUGACCUGCCCUCAGCUCUGGGAUAAGCCUGGGAAACCGGGUCUAAUACCGGAUACGACUCCAUGACGCAUGUUGUGGGGUGGAAAGCCUUGUGCGGCUGAGGAUGGGCCCGCGGCCUAUCAGCUUGUUGGUGGGGUGAUGGCCACCAAGGCGACGACGGGUAGCCGGCCUGAGAGGGCGACCGGCCACACUGGGACUGAGACACGGCCCAGACUCCUACGGGAGGCAGCAGUGGGGAAUCUUGCGCAAUGGGCGAAAGCCUGACGCAGCGACGCCGCGUGAGGGAUGACGGCCU